RNAcentral lists this ribosomal RNA (494 nucleotides) under uncultured bacterium. RNAcentral describes it as "partial 16S ribosomal RNA". It matches the Rfam family "Bacterial small subunit ribosomal RNA", at positions 28 to 507 of the family's 1533-position model. The record is from RNAcentral.
GACGAACGCUGGCGGCGUGCUUAACACAUGCAAGUCGAGCGGAAAGGCCUGCUUUCCCUUGUGGAUUGCGGGUACUCGAGUGGCGAACGGGUGAGUAACACGUGAGUGAUCUGCCCCCAACUUGGGUAUAAGCCUGGGAAACUGGGUCUAAUUCCCGAUAGGACUGCAGGGUGGUGCCUGUGGUGGAAAACGAUUUUCUAGUGGUUGGGGAUGAGCUCGCGGCCUAUCAGCUUGUGGGUGGGGUAAUGGCCUACCAAGGCGGCGACGGGUAGCCGGCCUGAGAGGGUGGACGGCCACAUUGGGACUGAGAUACGGCCCAGACUCCUACGGGAGGCAGCAGUGGGGAAUAUUGCACAAUGGGCGGAAGCCUGAUGCAGCGACGCCGCGUGGGGGAUGACGGCCUUCGGGUUGUAAACUCCUUUCGACCGCGAGGAAGCCACCUGGUUGGAAGGGUGGUGACGGUAGUGGUAGAAGAAGCACCGGCUAACUACGUG